CCCGUCGUCUGGAACAGGGCAUCUGCCCUCUCCGCCAUAGGGAGCGCACGGCCGCCGCCUGGCCGCCUCCUCCGUCGUCCGUCGUGGCUGAAAUCGCGGUGGAGGCCGAGCUUUGUCUCGCCGGAAAGGUAAGUUCCAAAUCUUCCCCCUUUUCCUCUCUUUUCUAUUUUUAAACCCAGAUCUGAAAUUUCCCCCUCUUUUCCUCUUUUCCGGCCGGUCAGGAACAGCCCGUUGCUCCCGCCGCCGUGUCGCCGCUGCCGAUGCCGCCGCAUCGUCGUCACCGGAGAAGAUGAGUCCUCCCUUCUCUCUCUCUCUCUUCCCCUUUUUCCCGUCUCUCUCUCUCUUUUAUUUUUUUUAUUUUAAACUGAAAUCCUAACCAAUUCUCUCUCUACCCUCUUCUCUCUCGUUUUUGGCAGGACAAAGGCUAGGCGGUUACCGCCGCGCCGUCGCCGGCCAUGAGCAGCCGCCGGCUGCUCUCACCCCCGUCACUCCGUUCCCGGACACACACACAAGACAGAGUACAAGAACCCCCAAAAUUUCAGUCCAGAUUCACAAGUAUAGCAAAGCUAGGGUUUUGUUUAGAAAUCUGUUCUUUCAUCAUUCAUUUAUCAUUUCCUUAGCAAAAAUCAAACCUUGUAAAUGUAAUAGCUUAGAAAAUAUAUUAACAUGUGUGCGUGCGUAUUCUUCUGUUGUUCUUUGAUGCUUGAUUCGAAAUUAACUAGAAAAAAAUAUAUAAAGAGAAAUUUGGAGUAACCUCGAUGUAGCUGGUAUUUGGUGUCUAG
RNAcentral lists this long non-coding RNA (782 nucleotides) under Salvia miltiorrhiza (redroot sage). RNAcentral's name for it is "long non-coding RNA (SMIL_LNC011905)". The record is from RNAcentral. Lineage: Eukaryota; Viridiplantae; Streptophyta; Magnoliopsida; Lamiales; Lamiaceae.